GUGGGGAAUAUUGGUCAAUGGGGGAAACCCUGAACCAGCGACGCCGCGUGAGUGAAGAAGUAUUUCGGUAUGUAAAGCUCUAUCAGCAGGGACGAUGAUGACGGUACCUGACUAAGAAGCCCCGGCUAACUACGUGCCAGCAGCCGCGGUAAUACGUAGGGGGCAAGCGUUAUCCGGAUUUACUGGGUGUAAAGGGAGUGUAGGUGGCCGUGCAAGUCAGAUGUGAAAUCCCGGGGCUCAACCCCGUGACUGCAUUUGAAACUGCGUGGCUGGAGUGCAGGAGAGGUAAGCGGAAUUCCUAGUGGAGCGGUGAAAUGCGUAGAUAUUAGGAGGAACACCGGUGGCGAAGGCGGCUUACUGGACUGUAACUGACACUGAGGCUCGAAAGCGUGGGGAGCAAACAGG
This 405-nucleotide ribosomal RNA is filed under the name uncultured rumen bacterium. RNAcentral describes it as "bacterial SSU rRNA". It matches the Rfam family "Bacterial small subunit ribosomal RNA", at positions 354 to 776 of the family's 1533-position model. The record is from RNAcentral.